Molecule: ribosomal RNA, 857 nt
Filed under: Cudonia sp. Z. W. Ge 835
Lineage: Eukaryota; Fungi; Ascomycota; Leotiomycetes; Rhytismatales; Cudoniaceae
Description: eukaryotic LSU rRNA
Rfam family: Eukaryotic large subunit ribosomal RNA
Source: RNAcentral
CCAACAGGGAUUGCCUCAGUAACGGCGAGUGAAGCGGCAACAGCUCAAAUUUGAAAGCUGGCUCUCUCAGAGCCCGCGUUGUAAUUUGUAGAGGAUGCUUCGGGUGCGGCGCUGGUCUAAGUUCUUUGGAACAAGACGUCAUAGAGGGUGAGAAUCCCGUAUGUGACUAGCUGCCUGCGCCUGUGUGAAGCUCCUUCGACGAGUCGAGUUGUUUGGGAAUGCAGCUCAAAAUGGGUGGUGUACUUCAUCUAAAGCUAAAUAUUGGCCAGAGACCGAUAGCGCACAAGUAGAGUGAUCGAAAGAUGAAAAGCACUUUGGAAAGAGAGUUAAACAGUACGUGAAAUUGUUGAAAGGGAAGCGCUUGCAAUCAGACUUGCGCGGCGUCGAUCAACCUGGGUUCUCCCUGGUGCACUCGGCGCUGCUCAGGCCAGCAUCAGUUUUGGCGGUUGGAUAAAGGCCUAGGGAACGUGGGUUACUUCGGUGACUGUUAUAGCCCUAGGUGCAAUGCAGCCUGCUGGGACUGAGGACCGCGCUUCGGCUAGGAUGCUGGCGUAAUGGUUGUAAGCGACCCGUCUUGAAACACGGACCAAGGAGUCUAACAUCUAUGCGAGUUUUUGGGUGUCAAACCCAUAAGCGUAAUGAAAGUGAACGGAGGUGAGAACCCUUAAGGGUGCAUCAUCGACCGAUCCUGAUGUCUUCGGAUGGAUUUGAGUAAGAGCAUAGCUGUUGGGACCCGAAAGAUGAUGAUCUAUACCUGAAUAGGGUGAAGCCAGAGGAAACUCUGGUGGAGGCUCGCAGCGGUUCUGACGUGCAAAUCGAUCGUCAAAUUUGGGUAUAGGGGCGAAAGACUAAUCGAA